This 63-nucleotide transfer RNA is filed under the name Rattus norvegicus (Norway rat). It matches the Rfam family "tRNA", at positions 1 to 62 of the family's 71-position model. From Rfam's summary of the family: Transfer RNA (tRNA) molecules are approximately 80 nucleotides in length. Their secondary structure includes four short double-helical elements and three loops (D, anti-codon, and T loops). The record is from Rfam by way of RNAcentral. Lineage: Eukaryota; Metazoa; Chordata; Mammalia; Rodentia; Muridae.
GGGGAUUUAGCUCAGUGGUAGAGCGCUUGCCUAGGAAGCACAAGGCCCUGGGUUCAGUCCUCA